Molecule: ribosomal RNA, 253 nt
Filed under: uncultured bacterium
Lineage: Bacteria
Description: partial 16S ribosomal RNA
Rfam family: Bacterial small subunit ribosomal RNA
Source: RNAcentral
UACGUAGGGAGCAAGCGUUGUCCGGAAUCAUUGGGCGUAAAGCGCGCGUAGGCGGCCCGAUAAGUCCGCUGUGAAAGUCAACGGCUCAACUGUUGGAUGCCGGUGGAUACUGUCGGGCUAGAGUACGGAAGAGGCAAGUGGAAUUCCUGGUGUAGCGGUGGAAUGCGCAGAUAUCAGGAAGAACACCGAUGGCGAAGGCAGUUCUCUGGGCCGUAACUGACGCUGAGGAGCGAAAGCGUGGGGAGCGAACAGG